CGGCAGGCCUAACACAUGCAAGUCGAGGGGUAGAGGGUGCUUGCACCCUUGAGACCGGCGCACGGGUGCGUAACGCGUAUGCAACCUACCUAUUGCAGGGGAAUAGCCCAGGGAAACUUGGAUUAAUGCCCCAUAGUCCAUAUUGAGAGCAUUUGAGAUAUGGUAAAGAUUUAUCGGCAAUAGAUGGGCAUGCGUCCCAUUAGCUAGUUGGUAUGGUAACGGCAUACCAAGGCUACGAUGGGUAGGGGCCCUGAGAGGGGGAUCCCCCACACUGGUACUGAGACACGGACCAGACUCCUACGGGAGGCAGCAGUGAGGAAUAUUGGACAAUGGGCGGGAGCCUGAUCCAGCCAUGCCGCGUGCAGGAAGACUGCCCUAUGGGUUGUAAACUGCUUUUUUACGGGAAGAAACACCCCCACGUGUGGGGGCUUGACGGUACCGUACGAAUAAGGACCGGCUAACUCCGUGCCAGCAGCCGCGGUAAUACGGAGGGUCCGAGCGUUAUCCGGAAUCAUUGGGUUUAAAGGGUCCGUAGGCGGGCGUCUAAGUCAGUGGUGAAUCUCGCGGCUCAACCGUGAAAUUGCCAUUGAUACUGGUCGCCUUGAAUUAGUGUGAAGUGGCUAGAAUAUGUAGUGUAGCGGUGAAAUGCUUAGAUAUUACAUAGAAUACCGAUUGCGAAGGCAGGUCACUAACACUAUAUUGACGCUGAUGGACGAAAGCGUGGGGAGCGAACAGGAUUAGAUACCCUGGUAGUCCACGCCGUAAACGAUGGAUACUAGCUGUCCGGCCUGCAUUGGUAGGCUGGGUGGCCAAGCGAAAGUGAUAAGUAUCCCACCUGGGGAGUACGUUCGCAAGAAUGAAACUCAAAGGAAUUGACGGGGGCCCGCACAAGCGGUGGAGCAUGUGGUUUAAUUCGAUGAUACGCGAGGAACCUUACCAGGGCUUAAAUGUAGUCUGACAGGAGUGGAAACACUCUUUUCUUCGGACAGACUGCAAGGUGCUGCAUGGUUGUCGUCAGCUCGUGCCGUGAGGUGUCAGGUUAAGUCCUAUAACGAGCGCAACCCCUGUCGUUAGUUGCCAGCAUGUAAAGAUGGGAACUCUAACGAGACUGCCGGUGCAAACCGUGAGGAAGGUGGGGAUGACGUCAAAUCAUCACGGCCCUUACGUCCUGGGCCACACACGUGCUACAAUGGCAGGUACAAUGGGCAGCCACGCCGCAAGGCGGAGCGAAUCCACAAAACCUGUCUCAGUUCGGAUCGGGGUCUGCAACUCGACCCCGUGAAGCUGGAAUCGCUAGUAAUCGGAUAUCAGCCAUGAUCCGGUGAAUACGUUCCCGG
RNAcentral lists this ribosomal RNA (1337 nucleotides) under Aequorivita vladivostokensis. RNAcentral describes it as "bacterial SSU rRNA". It matches the Rfam family "Bacterial small subunit ribosomal RNA", at positions 40 to 1377 of the family's 1533-position model. The record is from RNAcentral. Lineage: Bacteria; Pseudomonadati; Bacteroidota; Flavobacteriia; Flavobacteriales; Flavobacteriaceae.